RNAcentral lists this long non-coding RNA (363 nucleotides) under Homo sapiens (human). RNAcentral's name for it is "long non-coding RNA NONHSAT123794.2". Lineage: Eukaryota; Metazoa; Chordata; Mammalia; Primates; Hominidae. The record is from RNAcentral.
UCCCAUCCUUCCCUGACCCUGCCAUGGGCACCAGGCUCCUCUGCUAGGCGGCCCUCUGUCUCCUGGGAGCAAACUCACAGAAGCUGGAGUUGCCCAGUCUCCCGGAUAUAAGAUUAUAGAGAAAAGGCAGAGUGUGGCUUUUUGGUGCAAUCCUAUAUCUGGCCAUGCUACCCUUUACUGGUACCAGCAGAUCCUGGGACAGGGCCCAAAGCUUCUGAUUCAGUUUCAGAAUAACGGUGUAGUGGAUGAUUCACAGUUGCCUAAGGAUCGAUUUUCUGCAGAGAGGCUCAAAGGAGUAGACUCCACUCUCAAGAUCCAGCCUGCAAAGCUUGAGGACUCGGCCGUGUAUCUCUGUGCCAGCAG